This 250-nucleotide ribosomal RNA is filed under the name uncultured prokaryote. RNAcentral describes it as "partial 16S ribosomal RNA". It matches the Rfam family "Bacterial small subunit ribosomal RNA", at positions 524 to 773 of the family's 1533-position model. The record is from RNAcentral.
UGCGGAGGAUGCGAGCGUUAUCCGGAUUUAUUGGGUUUAAAGGGUGCGUAGGCGGGUCGCCGAGUCAGGGGUGAAAUCCCGGAGCCUAACUCCGGAACUGCCUUUGAUACUGACGGUCUUGAAUUCGGAUGCCGUGGGAGGAAUGAGUAGUGUAGCGGUGAAAUGCAUAGAUAUUACUCAGAACACCGAUUGCGAAGGCAUCUCACGAGUCCGCGAUUGACGCUGAGGCACGAAAGCGUGGGGAUCAAAC